RNAcentral lists this ribosomal RNA (480 nucleotides) under uncultured Actinomycetales bacterium. RNAcentral describes it as "bacterial SSU rRNA". It matches the Rfam family "Bacterial small subunit ribosomal RNA", at positions 8 to 507 of the family's 1533-position model. Lineage: Bacteria; Bacillati; Actinomycetota; Actinomycetes; Actinomycetales. The record is from RNAcentral.
AGAGUUUGAUCCUGGCUCAGGACGAACGCUGGCGGCGUGCUUAACACAUGCAAGUCGAACGGAAAGGCCCGCUUGCGGGUACUCGAGUGGCGAACGGGUGAGUAACACGUGGGUAACCUGCCCUUGACUUCGGGAUAACAGUUGGAAACAGCUGCUAAUACCGGAUAUCACUGCUGCACGCAUGUGUGGUGGUUGAAAGUUUUUUCGGUCAAGGAUGGGCCCGCGGCCUAUCAGCUUGUUGGUGGGGUAAUGGCCUACCAAGGCGACGACGGGUAGCCGGCCUGAGAGGGCGACCGGCCACACUGGGACUGAGACACGGCCCAGACUCCUACGGGAGGCAGCAGUGGGGAAUAUUGCGCAAUGGGCGGAAGCCUGACGCAGCGACGCCGCGUGAGGGAUGAAGGCCUUCGGGUUGUAAACCUCUUUCAGCAGGAACGAAUCAAGACGGUACCUGCAGAAGAAGCACCGGCUAACUACGUG